Molecule: ribosomal RNA, 428 nt
Filed under: uncultured bacterium
Lineage: Bacteria
Description: partial 16S ribosomal RNA
Rfam family: Bacterial small subunit ribosomal RNA
Source: RNAcentral
GUGGGGAAUAUUGGGCAAUGGGCGCAAGCCUGACCCAGCAACGCCGCGUGAAGGAAGAAGGCUUUCGGGUUGUAAACUUCUUUUACCAGGGACGAAACAAAUGACGGUACCUGGUGAAUAAGCCACGGCUAACUACGUGCCAGCAGCCGCGGUAAUACGUAGGUGGCGAGCGUUAUCCGGAUUUAUUGGGUGUAAAGGGCGUGUAGGCGGGACAGCAAGUCAGAUGUGAAAACCAGAGGCUCAACCUCUGGCCUGCAUUUGAAACUGUUGUUCUGGGGUGUCGGAGAGGGAAUCGGAAUUCCGUGUGUAGCGGUGAAAUGCGUAGAUAUACGGAGGAAGACCAGUGGCGAAGGCGGAUUACUGGACGAUAACUGACGCUGAGGCGCGAAAGCGUGGGGAGCAAACAGGAUUAGAUACCCCAGUAGUCC